This 235-nucleotide long non-coding RNA is filed under the name Ananas comosus (pineapple). RNAcentral's name for it is "long non-coding RNA (ACOM_LNC043993)". Lineage: Eukaryota; Viridiplantae; Streptophyta; Magnoliopsida; Poales; Bromeliaceae. The record is from RNAcentral.
AAUUAAUUGGGUGUAUGGACGAGAGCAUAACUCUCAUUUUCUUCCAAGCAACUAGCUUGAGAAUAAAGGAAUAUAUAAAUACCAACAACAACAACAUCUUUUUAGUUUCCAGUAUGGGACUAAACCUCACAUAUGAUGGCCCAUUAAGUAUUACGCUGCCCAAGAGGCUUAACAAGGUUUUAAUCACCAAAAAUCCAAUAAAAUCCAACAAUGAAUACAAAUUUAGAGAGGACAA